CACACAGCGUCUAUACGACAUGGUGGCAGCGGCAACAACAAUACUACAACGAGAAUAAAAGGUGCUGUCGCUGUUGCGUUCCUACCUUGCAGGCACACACAGAGCCCAGUCAGGAAAUGAACAGGAAUGUGACCUCUCCAGUGCCCUUUUUCUGCGGCUGUGGCUCGCCACAAGGCAGAGUCCAUGCCUGGUGACACGUGGUGCGUUUCUAGAUCUGCUGGGCUGUGGUUGUGGUUGUCUUCCUGUUCCUGUAUCAGAGUCACAGCUGAAAAAACUGUGUGAGGAAACUCUGCAGAUACUUAUGGCCUCAGAGCCUGUGGCCCCUCAGGGGCCCAAUGACAUGAAGCUCUCAGUCCCUGGAGCCACACAGUACCUGCAGAAUCUGGCUCACAUAGCCAUCAGCAUCUGUGUGGAAUCACCUCACCUGUGGAACUGUCCAGAGUCUGAGGGGUUUCAGAGAGACCUCCUGGAGCGACUCUAUGAGGUUCGGCUGUUUCCCCUGGAACAGUUCUUCAGGUGACUUCAGAAGACAGAGGAAGAGUGUCAACAUGGUCAGGGACCCUUGCCCUUUGACCUCAGUGUGUCCAGAUUGACCUCCCUGGCCCUUCAUGAGACUUACCCUGGGUGUCAAGCCAAGGUUCUGCAGGUUCUUGCUGUCCUCCUCCUUUCUUCCCUGCUGCACUGGAGAGAUGGGAUCACGUCUUUGAACUGUCAGGAGUUUCUAGAGUAUCCACUCUGGACCUCUACACACAGCGGGACCUCAGUGAGGCUGCAGUGGUCUGUCUGAGCAAAUGGGAGGUGCUGGUCGUGUAGGGCUGCGGUGAGGAACAACCUGCAGAAUUCAAACUCAUGUCAGCAGAGGUGCUGGUGAAGGCAGUCCCUACCUUACUGACGGCACCAGCCCUGCCUCUGGGCGAGUGGACAUCUAUGGACAAGAACAAGAUGAAGAUAAGGAUGUCAGGGACGGAGCAGCUGACUUCACCUGCUACAUACCGGCCCAUUUACACAACACAGAUGUUGCCACGGGUGCCGUCUCUCCUCCGGUUGCCCUGGAGAUGGGGGUGGGUGUUCUAUGCUAGCUGUUCCAGAUGUGGGGCCAGGUGGCUGCUGCAAUGGUGAACCGGAUAGAAUGGCUCCUGGGAGAUGAAAAUCAGAUACAAGUUGUGAGGAGUCACUGGACUUGGCUUUUUAAACUUUGGAACAGAACUCGUCCCCCUUUUGUGCUACAGGCACACAUGACAUCAAAAUCUUGACAUUAAAUUGGCAACUUGUUGAGGAGAGGUGUGCAGAUUGUUUUUUUGUUUUUUUUUUUGAAAUGUAAAAGUUACACAGUGGAUUAUAAAAUUUUGUAGAAAAUCCCAUAGACUUACAUUGAUGGACCGAUAGAGUGCAACAGUGCCCAUCCACGGCUUUAAUGACAUAAUAGAAACAAUAUAUUUUGUUUAUUGCAAACUAUGUAUUAACAUACAAAUAUUGAAAUAACUUGAGAGCAUAUAGAGACUGAGUCAAGUAUGUCAUUACGGGUGCUAAAGAAUUCUUUUGUGAUUUGUGCAUUACUCUGCAGAAUCAUCCCACCAGGAAUUCCUCUAUUAAACAUGAUUAUUUAAAAAAAUUAGUUGAAGUAAUGGAGUAAACGCUUCAACAAAAUCAUAUACCAUUGAUUUACAACCUCACUGCUCACAGUGAUUCUGUCUUUAAAGGUGUAUAAGUUAUGGUUCAGUAUCUAUAAAUUGGAUUUUUAGUUUCAGAACCAACUGUUGUACUUUAUAUGACCUGUCUAAUAAAAUGGGCCAAUAAGCAUUUACUUGUUAACACCCUAGAAAUCACCCAGAACACCCUACUCACUCAAAACACCUUAGCAAACAUAGCAACACCCUUAAAGUGCCCAUUGUCUCCACUCUCAAUGCCCUGCUCACAUUGUCUUCAGAAAAUCUAGUUUAAGAAUGUAAGUUCUUCGUAUUCUCUCUCUCUCUUUUUUUU
Molecule: long non-coding RNA, 1980 nt
Organism: Cyprinus carpio (common carp)
Lineage: Eukaryota; Metazoa; Chordata; Actinopteri; Cypriniformes; Cyprinidae
Exons: 9
Source: RefSeq, a predicted model, not a curated record